This 71-nucleotide transfer RNA is filed under the name Stegodyphus mimosarum. It matches the Rfam family "tRNA". Rfam says of the family: Transfer RNA (tRNA) molecules are approximately 80 nucleotides in length. Their secondary structure includes four short double-helical elements and three loops (D, anti-codon, and T loops). Lineage: Eukaryota; Metazoa; Arthropoda; Arachnida; Araneae; Eresidae. The record is from Rfam by way of RNAcentral.
GCCUUCGUGGUGUAACGGUAGCACACUCGGCUCGUUCUCGAGAGGUCCAGGUUUAAGUCCCGGUGAGGGCA